This 1987-nucleotide ribosomal RNA is filed under the name metagenome. Its description in RNAcentral is "bacterial LSU rRNA". It matches the Rfam family "Bacterial large subunit ribosomal RNA", at positions 3 to 2027 of the family's 2925-position model. The record is from RNAcentral.
UUAAGCUAUAAAGAGCAUAGGGUGGAUGCCUAGGCACUGAGAGCCGACGAAAGACGUGAUAAGCUGCGAUAAGCUGCGGUAAGGAGCAAAUAUCCAUUGACCCGCAGAUUUCUGAAUGGGGAAACCUACGCAAGAAGACCUUGCGUACUCAUACAUGAAUACAUAGUGUAUGAGAGGGAACCCGGGGAACUGAAACAUCUAAGUACCCGGAGGAAGAGAAAGAAACAUCGAUUUCCUGAGUAGCGGCGAGCGAAAGGGAAAGAGCCCAAACCAGAGGAUUUAUCCUUUGGGGUUAGGACUGCAUAAUUGAUCUGCAAUUGAUAGGAGAACGGUCUGGGAAGUCCGGCGAGAAAGCGUGAAAGCCGCGUAUCCGAAAUCGAAAGCAGCAAGGCAGGAUCCAGAGUACCACGAGACACGAGAAACCUUGUGGGAAUGAGCGGAGACCACUCCGUAAGGCUAAAUACUACUCAGUGACCGAUAGCGCAUAGUACUGUGAAGGAAAGGUGAAAAGGACCCCGGGAGGGGAGUGAAAGAGAACCUGAAACCCUGUGUUUACAAGCUGUCGAAGCACGAAAGUGCGACGGCGUACUUUUUGUAGAACGGUCCGGCGAGUUAUGAUGAGUGGUAAGGUUAAGGACUUAAGGUCCGGAGCCGAAGCGAAAGCGAGUGUUAAAAGCACGGUUGAAUCGCUUAUCAUAGACCCGAAACCGGGUGAUCUAUCCAUGUCCAGGUUGAAGCUGCCGUAAGAGGUAGUGGAGGACCGAACACACAUCCGUUGAAAAGGGUGGUGAUGAGGUGUGGAUAGGGGAGAAAUUCCAAUCGAACCCGGAGAUAGCUGGUUCUCCUCGAAAUAGCUUUAGGGCUAGCCUCUGGUUAGUCUGCCGCAGGUAGAGCACUGAAUUUCCUAGGGGGCGUCAAAGCCUACCGAAGAAUAUCAAACUGCGAAUGGCGGACAGAUGAUGCCAGGGAGUCAGACUGCACGAGAUAAGUUGGGUGGUCAAAAGGGAAAGAGCCCAGACCUACAGCUAAGGUCCCAAAGUGUGUGUUAAGUGGAAAAGGAUGUGGGAUUUCGAAGACAACUAGGAUGUUGGCUCAGAAGCAGCCACACAUUAAAAGAGUGCGUAAUAGCUCACUAGUCGAGAGGUCCUGCGCCGAAAAUGUCCGGGGCUAAAACACAACACCGAAGCUUAGGAAUUCUAAUGAAUUGGUAGAGGAGCAUUGAAGACGGAACGAAGCCAUACCGAAAGGAAUGGUGGACUGUCUUGAAGAGAGAAUGCCGGAAUGAGUAGCGAGAUUGAAGUGAGAAUCUUCAAGGCCGAAUAUCUAAGGUUUCCAGGGUAAAGCUGAUCUGCCCUGGGUAAGUCGGGGCCUAAGGCAAGGUCGAAAGACGUAGUCGAUGGAUAACAGGUUGAAAUUCCUGUACUGCAUCAAAUCAGAAAUGUGGGGACACAUGAGGGAAGCAUGAGCCGGAAAAGGAAAGUCCGGUACAAGCGCAGCAGAGGACAGAUAGGCAAAUCCGUCUGUCAACUCGAGGGCGCGAUGUGGAGCGAACCAAAGUAGCGAAGCAUGUGGAGCUUGUGUCGAGAAAAGCCGCUAUAGUGUUUGAUGUACCCGUACCGUAAACCGACACAGGUGGAUGAGGAGAGAAUCCUAAGGCCGGCGGGAGAAGCAUUGUUAAGGAACUCGGCAAAAUGACCCCGUAACUUCGGGAGAAGGGGUGCUCCAGAGAUGGAGCCGCAGAGAACUGGCCCAAGCAACUGUUUAGCAAAAACACAGGUCUAUGCAAAACCGAAAGGUGAGGUAUAUGGGCUGACGCCUGCCCGGUGCUGGAAGGUUAAGAGGAGAUGUUAAUCGCAAGGUGAAGCAUUGAAUUUAAGCCCCAGUAAACGGCGGCCGUAACUAUAACGGUCCUAAGGUAGCGAAAUUCCUUGUCGGGUAAGUUCCGACCCGCACGAAAGGCGUAAUGAUUUGGGCACUGUCUCGACAA